UGAUGGCGUGCCUUUUGAAGAAUGAGCCUGCGAGUCAGCGGCAUGUCGCGAGGUUAACCCGUGUGGGGUAGCCGUAGGGAAACCGAAUCCUAAUGGGGUGUCAAGUGGCAUGUCCUGGACCCGAAGCGGGGUGAUCUACCCAUGGCCAGUGUGAAGCAGCUGUAAGAGGUUGUGGAGGCGCGAACCCACGUAGGUUAAAAACUGCGGGGAUGAGCUGUGGGUAGGGGUGAAAGGCCAAUCAAAC
Molecule: ribosomal RNA, 244 nt
Filed under: Thalassiosira minuscula
Lineage: Eukaryota; Bacillariophyta; Thalassiosirophyceae; Thalassiosirales; Thalassiosiraceae
Description: partial Bacterial large subunit ribosomal RNA
Rfam family: Bacterial large subunit ribosomal RNA
Source: RNAcentral